This 253-nucleotide ribosomal RNA is filed under the name uncultured bacterium. Its description in RNAcentral is "partial 16S ribosomal RNA". It matches the Rfam family "Bacterial small subunit ribosomal RNA", at positions 524 to 776 of the family's 1533-position model. The record is from RNAcentral.
UACGUAGGGGGCUAGCGUUGUCCGGAAUCAUUGGGCGUAAAGCGCGCGUAGGCGGCCCGGUAAGUCCGCUGUGAAAGUCAAAGGCUCAACCUUUGAAUGUCAGCGGAUACUGCCGGGCUAGAGUCCGGAAGAGGCGAGUGGAACUCCUGGUGUAGCGGUGGAAUGCGCAGAUAUCAGGAAGAACACCAACGGCGAAGGCAGCUCGCUGGGACGGAACUGACGCUAAGGCGCGAAAGCGUGGGGAGCGAACAGG